CCUACGGGAGGCAGCAGUGGGGAAUAUUGGGCAAUGUGGGCAAGCCUGACCCAGCAACGCCGCGUGAAGGAAGAAGGCUUUCGGGUUGUAAACUUCUUUUCUGAGGGACGAAGAAAGUGACGGUACCUCAGGAAUAAGCCACGGCUAACUACGUGCCAGCAGCCGCGGUAAUACGUAGGUGGCAAGCGUUAUCCGGAUUUAUUGGUUGUAAAGGGCGUGUAGGCGGGAAAGCAAGUCAGAUGUGAAAACUCAGGGCUCAACCCUGAGCCUGCAUUUGAAACUGUUUUUCUUGAGUGCUGGAGAGGCAAUCGGAAUUCCGGGUGUAGGGGUGAAAUGCGUAGAUAUACGGGGGAACACCAGUUGCGAAGGCGGAUUGCUGGACAGUAACUGACGCUGAGGCGCGAAAGCGUGGGGAGCAAACAGGAUUAGAUACCCCAGUAGUC
RNAcentral lists this ribosomal RNA (443 nucleotides) under uncultured bacterium. RNAcentral's name for it is "partial 16S ribosomal RNA". It matches the Rfam family "Bacterial small subunit ribosomal RNA", at positions 338 to 795 of the family's 1533-position model. The record is from RNAcentral.